Molecule: ribosomal RNA, 468 nt
Filed under: uncultured bacterium
Lineage: Bacteria
Description: bacterial SSU rRNA
Rfam family: Bacterial small subunit ribosomal RNA
Source: RNAcentral
CUACGGGAGGCAGCAGUCGGGGAAUCUUGCGCAAUGGGGGAAACCCUGACGCAGCAACGCCGCGUGGGUGAUGAAGGCCUUCGGGUCGUAAAGCCCUGUCAGGUGGGAAGAAACCCGUCGAUGUCAACAACGUCGACGAUUGACGGUACCACCGGAGGAAGCACCGGCUAACUCCGUGCCAGCAGCCGCGGUAAUACGGAGGGUGCAAGCGUUGUUCGGAAUUAUUGGGCGUAAAGCGCGUGCAGGCGGCUGGGUAAGUCAGAUGUGAAAGCCUUCCGCUUAACGGAAGAAGUGCAUUUGAAACUACCCGGCUUGAGUUCGGGAGAGGAGAGUGGAAUUCCCGGUGUAGAGGUGAAAUUCGUAGAUAUCGGGAGGAACACCGGUGGCGAAGGCGGCUCUCUGGCCCGAUACUGACGCUGAGACGCGAAAGCGUGGGGAGCAAACAGGAUUAGAUACCCGUGUAGUCCC